GGUGUACUUUUGCAUAAUGGGUCAGCAAGUUAACAUUAGAUGCGAGAAAAUUUCGUAGUUAAACCAAACAUUAAAAUAACGAUUAGNUUUACAUACUGGAUCAGGCAUACAUAAACAGUACCGAACGGGUGAUUGUGGCAAAAAUCUCCGAAGAAUCGUGGUAGGUAUAGUGAAAGACAAUACUGACUAGGAUAGCUGGUUUUCUACGAAACAUA
This 215-nucleotide ribosomal RNA is filed under the name Beauveria bassiana. RNAcentral's name for it is "partial large subunit ribosomal RNA". Lineage: Eukaryota; Fungi; Ascomycota; Sordariomycetes; Hypocreales; Cordycipitaceae. The record is from RNAcentral.